RNAcentral lists this ribosomal RNA (349 nucleotides) under uncultured soil bacterium. RNAcentral's name for it is "bacterial SSU rRNA". It matches the Rfam family "Bacterial small subunit ribosomal RNA", at positions 26 to 368 of the family's 1533-position model. The record is from RNAcentral.
AGAUUGAACGCUGGCGGCAGGCCUAACACAUGCAAGUCGAGCGGCAGCACGGGUACUUGUACCUGGUGGCGAGCGGCGGACGGGUGAGUAAUGCCUAGGAUCUGCCUGGUAGUGGGGGAUAACGCUCGGAAACGGACGCUAAUACCGCAUACGUCCUACGGGAGAAAGCAGGGGACCUUCGGGCCUUGCGCUAUCAGAUGAGCCUAGGUCGGAUUAGCUAGUUGGUGAGGUAAUGGCUCGAACCAAGGCGACGAUCCGUAACUUGGUCUGGAGAGAUGAUCAGUCACAGUUAGGAACUGACGACACGGUCCCAGACCUCCGUACGGGAGCAGCAGGGUGGGAAUUAGUU